UACGAGGGGUGCAAGCGUUAAUCGGAAUUACUGGGCGUAAAGCGUUCGUAGGCGGUUUGUUAAGCAAGAUGUGAAAGCCCAGGGCUCAACCUUGGAACUGCAUUUUGAACUGGCAAACUAGAGUACUGUAGAGGGUGGUGGAAUUUCCAGUGUAGCGGUGAAAUGCGUAGAGAUUGGAAGGAACAUCAGUGGCGAAGGCGGCCACCUGGACAGAUACUGACGCUGAGGAACGAAAGCGUGGGGAGCGAACAGG
Molecule: ribosomal RNA, 253 nt
Filed under: uncultured bacterium
Lineage: Bacteria
Description: partial 16S ribosomal RNA
Rfam family: Bacterial small subunit ribosomal RNA
Source: RNAcentral